RNAcentral lists this transfer RNA (69 nucleotides) under Alviniconcha marisindica. Its description in RNAcentral is "tRNA-Pro". Lineage: Eukaryota; Metazoa; Mollusca; Gastropoda; Provannidae. The record is from RNAcentral.
CAAAGUUGUAGUUUAAAAAAAUAUUAGCAUUGGAAGCUAAAGAUUAGGUAAUAUAAUCCUACACUUUGA